AGUGAACGCUGGCGGUAGGCCUAACACAUGCAAGUCGAACGGCAGCACAGUAAGAGCUUGCUCUUACGGGUGGCGAGUGGCGGACGGGUGAGGCAUACAUCGGAAUCUACUUUUUCGUGGGGGAUAACGUAGGGAAACUUACGCUAAUACCGCAUACGACCUACGGGUGAAAGCAGGGGAUCUUCGGACCUUGCGCGACUGAAUGAGCCGAUGUCGGAUUAGCUAGUUGGCGGGGUAAAGGCCCACCAAGGCGACGAUCCGUAGCUGGUCUGAGAGGAUGAUCAGCCACACUGGAACUGAGACACGGUCCAGACUCCUACGGGAGGCAGCAGUAGGGAAUAUUGGGCAAUGGGCGCAAGCCUGAUGCAGCCAUACCGCGUGAGUGAAGAAGGCCUUCGGGUUGUAAAGCCCUUUUGUUGGGAAAGAAAAGCAGCAUGUUAAUACCCCGCUGUUCUGACGGUACCCAAAGAAUAAGCACCGGCUAACUUCGUG
RNAcentral lists this ribosomal RNA (492 nucleotides) under uncultured bacterium. RNAcentral's name for it is "partial 16S ribosomal RNA". It matches the Rfam family "Bacterial small subunit ribosomal RNA", at positions 29 to 507 of the family's 1533-position model. The record is from RNAcentral.